GGGGGCGAUAUGGUUUCGACGGGUAUGGUUGAGGUUUCGGUUGCAUGCCGGGCGUUCUCGUCCGCCUGUUAAAUGGCGGGAAACUUUCAAAUGCCAACACUGGCUAUGCCUUGGCUGCUUAACUGACAGCCACGGUCCCUGUUUCGUCGGCGUGUUGCGAAACAAUCGGACUGUCAUAAAAGACGCGAUGCUCCCGGGACUGCGUUUCAGGGUUUCCGGGCUAAGACUAUCUGGAACUGGCCGCUUCCUUGCUCUCGUUCAUCCGGUUGGGUUGCGGUGAGAUCAAAGGAUAAACUACGCAUGUAGAUACCGUUGCUGAACAUAUUCGGACCCGGGUUCGAUUCCCGGCGCCUCCAGCU
Molecule: transfer-messenger RNA, 359 nt
Filed under: bacterium
Lineage: Bacteria
Also listed under: 1 other name
Description: JAFGMN01 sp016927515 Standard tmRNA
Rfam family: transfer-messenger RNA
About the family: Bacterial tmRNA, also known as 10Sa RNA or SsrA, is named for its dual tRNA and mRNA-like properties.
Source: RNAcentral